This is a long non-coding RNA of Megalobrama amblycephala (Wuchang bream), 1990 nucleotides long. RefSeq lists it as uncharacterized. Lineage: Eukaryota; Metazoa; Chordata; Actinopteri; Cypriniformes; Xenocyprididae. The transcript is spliced from 3 exons. The record is from RefSeq and is a predicted model, not a curated record.
GCUUAAAUAGUCACUACUGGAUGAACUAUUAGCAGUUUAAAAAAUAAGAAUUCAAAACUUUGCUAUUCUUACAUUUUUAGAAAUAGGCUAAAUAAUUGAUCCUUGGAAAAUGCAACUGUUCAAUCUAGAUUAACUGUUUCACAUGUUUACACUUACAUAUAAUUAGAUAGAGUAAAGGUUAGGCGUAUUUGGCGUGCUGUCUGGGGGAAGGGCUUCCGAGCUCAGAAUUUGGCCCGAACCCAGAGUACUCCUCCCGGUUGUGAUAGGAAUAGUUAGAACUAGAAGUGAGGAGAUGGGGUGGUGGAGGGAUGCUGAUAAACUGUCAACGAACAGAGUGGCUGCUUUUCUCAAAAGUCAAUAGACUAGGGGAAAAUUCCAGAGAAUGGUAUGUGUUGCCAAAAGUGGUCUUUUUUUCUCACAUUGAUAGUGAGCGUGUUUGUACCCCAAGCUCAGACUCUGAGUAGGCAGAAAGAGGAGGAGGAAGAAUAAACCUCUUUCAUUCAAAACUAUCUGGAGUCUUGUCACCUACAUGACCCCUCAUAAUACAGCCCGAGAGUUCAGGAAUGGAUUCUACCAUUUGGACUCUCCCUAGCCCCUAGUGUGUUUAAGAGAUGUAUGAAGGCUGCCCUGUCUCCCCUGUGCUCAGAUGAGGGUCCAAUCUGUGCACAAUACACAGCUGCUGCUGGACCACAAAGCCAAUUUGGAUCUCUCAGUGAUCAGAGUAAAGAGUUCUCUGUCUCCACACAGUCCAUCAUGUUCAUCGGGAUGACAAUCAAUUUGGUCACAAUGCGUGCCUUGCUGUCUCCAUCUCGGACAAAAGAUAUCCUAAACCUUCUUGCCCAGUUUCGUCUGGGAGUGGUUGAUGGAUCACAUCAAUAUAUUGGAGAUGUGUAUAAUUUUUCUGGCCUUAAGACUUUUCCUUCCAGUUCUGGUGGGCCGCCAUGUGAUUGUACAUUUGGACAACACACCAACGUUCUUCAAUCUGAAUCAUCAGGAGGGCACAAAGUUGGAGAGCUUGUUGCGGCUCACUUACAAUAUCCUCACCUGGUCACUUCCACGGUCAAUCAGACUGCAGGAGCUCUGUCCAGGAAUUGGAUACAUCCAAGUGAGCGGAGGCUCCACCCGGAUGUAGUGCAGGAUAUUUGGUAGGAGUUCGGUAUGGCGGAAGUAGAUCUAUUUGCUUUGGAAAACACAACUAUCUGCCCAUUGUGGUUUGCCCAGAUGGAAGAGUCCAGGCCAAUGAGGAAGGACGGACUGUCACAUGAUUAGCCAGAUUGUCUUCUGUAAGCUUUUCCUCCAAUUCAUCUGUUGUGGGAGACACUUCACAGGAUUGCUCAUGGCAGACACAGGGUACUUGUGAUAGCGCCAAAGUGGCUGUCCAAACCACAGUUUCCCUUGCUCCUAACCUUGUUGGUGAGCAGACUAAAGCAGCUUCCUUUCAGGAGUGAUCUGCUAUUCCAGCUGGACAGUCGUAUUUGGCAUCCAGAUCCAGUCUGUCUACUGUCAUGGGUCUGGGCUCUGGGGCCAACUCUGAAACUUCGUCAUUCACACUGUUCUUAAUGUGAGGGCUGCUUCUACACGAAGGCUUUAUAUCUAUCAAUGAAGUCUUUCUGCUUGUGGUGCAAGACACAUGAUUUUGAUCCUGUACAAUGCACUCCACAUUAAAGGUUUAUGUGGCAGCCAUUUCUGCACAUCAUUCACUUGUAGAAGGUUUUUCUCUCGGCUUCCACAGCCUAGUUUGCAGUUUUUUAAAAGGUGAGAGGCACCUCAAUCCUGCUCACUCCCUCUUUCUCUAGUGUGGAAGUUACCUCUGGUGUUGGAGUCUCUUUGUCAAUCUCCUUUUGAAACAUUUGAGGACACAGAUCUUAAGGCAGGAACACACGGUCGGCCGUCGGGCAGUUUUUCUUUGUCGGCCGACAAAAUUUUCUCAGCGUGUUCCAUACCGACGGCUGAAGUUGGUCCUCGUCGGCUUUUUUUCGGCCGAUUUGAA